RNAcentral lists this unclassified non-coding RNA (356 nucleotides) under Hevea brasiliensis (rubber tree). Lineage: Eukaryota; Viridiplantae; Streptophyta; Magnoliopsida; Malpighiales; Euphorbiaceae. The record is from RNAcentral.
GAUUUUGGUUUGGUUUGGUUUGGUGGUUUGUGCGGGAUUUUGUGGGGAGGAGAGUAAUGGCGACCGCAGGGAAGGUGAUCAAGUGCAAAGCGGCGGUGGCAUGGGAGGCCGCGAAGCCGCUGGUGAUCGAGGAGGUGGAGGUGGCGCCGCCGCAGGCCAUGGAGGUGCGCGUCAAGAUCCUCUUCACCUCGCUCUGCCACACCGACGUCUACUUCUGGGAGGCCAAGGGACAGACUCCCGUGUUCCCUCGGAUCUUCGGCCAUGAAGCUGGAGGUAUUGUGGAGAGUGUUGGAGAGGGUGUGACUGAUCUUGCCCCUGGUGACCAUGUUCUCCCUGUGUUCACUGGGGAGUGCAAG